GACGAACGCUGGCGGCGUGCUUAACACAUGCAAGUCGAACGAAGAGCGAUGGAAGCUUGCUUCUAUCAAUCUUAGUGGCGAACGGGUGAGUAACGCGUAAUCAACCUGCCCUUCAGAGGGGGACAACAGUUGGAAACGACUGCUAAUACCGCAUACGAUCUAACCUCGGCAUCGAGGAAAGAUGAAAGGUGGCCUCUAUGUAUAAGCUAUCACUGAAGGAGGGGAUUGCGUCUGAUUAGCUAGUUGGAGGGGUAACGGCCCACCAAGGCGAUGAUCAGUAGCCGGUCUGAGAGGAUGAACGGCCACAUUGGGACUGAGACACGGCCCAGACUCCUACGGGAGGCAGCAGUGGGGAAUCUUCCGCAAUGGACGAAAGUCUGACGGAGCAACGCCGCGUGAGUGAUGACGGCCUUCGGGUUGGAAAGCUCUGUUAAUCGGGACGAAAGGCCUUCUUGCGAAUAGUGAGAAGGAUUGACGGUACCGGAAGAGAAAGCCACGGCUAACUACGUG
Molecule: ribosomal RNA, 510 nt
Filed under: uncultured bacterium
Lineage: Bacteria
Description: partial 16S ribosomal RNA
Rfam family: Bacterial small subunit ribosomal RNA
Source: RNAcentral